RNAcentral lists this transfer RNA (88 nucleotides) under Saprospiraceae bacterium. RNAcentral describes it as "tRNA-Ser". It matches the Rfam family "tRNA". From Rfam's summary of the family: Transfer RNA (tRNA) molecules are approximately 80 nucleotides in length. Their secondary structure includes four short double-helical elements and three loops (D, anti-codon, and T loops). The record is from RNAcentral. Lineage: Bacteria; Pseudomonadati; Bacteroidota; Saprospiria; Saprospirales; Saprospiraceae.
GGAGAGAUGGCAGAGUUGGUUUAAUGCACCUGAUUCGAAAUCAGACGUACUGUAACGGGUACCGGGGGUUCGAAUCCCUCUCUCUCCG